GAGAAUGAGGAGAUGGGCAAGCAGCCCCAUUUAUAGUGCCAGGCACAGCUAGCUGUUGCCAGGUAACUGUGGGGGUGGAGCUUAGACAGAAUGCCAACAGUCUAGAGACCAGAAAUUCUAAGGACAUGGUGCUGACAGUUGGAUAUAACCUUUCUGUUACAAGUGUGUAUGUAGCAGUUUGAACUUCCAAACAAGAACUUCUCCCCAGGAUCAAGAACUCAACCCUGCCCAGUAAGAACUCUGCCCCAGGAGACCUCAACUGAUACCAAAGAUGGCCUUCCCUUCUCGUAUCUUCCUCUUCUGUUGUUCAAAUACCGGAACCUGACAUCGGUUGUCUCUAAUCCUCCAAAGAACUAACAACCCAGAGCAAAAGGAAAUUGUUUAUCUCUUGUUUGGAAAAAGCUGGACCAGGACAAGCACAGAGAUCGGCACAGCAGUGGACCCGGCUCACCAGGACCUCCGAGUUCUCUUCUUUGUACUCCACCUUUGGAAGAAGCUGCCUUUCCAAAACCUCACAGCCAAGAUACCUACUACAGUUCUAGGAAAAAAACCCAAAAAACAAUAAAACAAAACACCCCCAUUCCAGGUCCCUAGUGGUGGGAGAGAGAUUCCUUUUAACGUCUGAUUCUUGGGAAGACCCAGCCUAAGGCAUGAUGUCACUACUUGCCUUGCAUCUGGAAGAUUCUUUACUCCUUCUGCAUCUUACUCCAGAGACACAGCAAAGCAGUCAUCAACAGUUUGAGCAUGGAGGCGAGGAGCUACAGGAGAGAUGCUGAAGAUACCCAGUGAGUUCAUUGAGAUGCUGAAUCAACUCAAAAGAAGAGAGAGGAUCACAGCACUGACAUAGAAAGUAGGCCCUCCCCAAGUUAGUAUCAAUGGGGAACACAGCAGAGAAUGAAUGAGAACAUCAGUGGGGAAAUAUGCAGAAUCCAGGAGGCAGUAAAGGACACCAGAGGCAUAUGAAGGGGACAUAAUUCCUCACCUUACACAAUGGGAAAUUAACAGACACAUCUUGAGGUAGGAGCCCUGGAAAUUUCUGACCUCUGUGUUUUAUAAUACACAGCCAAUCAUGCAAGCUAAACAGUAGUUAUCCAUUUAUAUUUCAUCUUUUGAGAGCUGUUUAUUCAUUUCAUUAGUCUCUGUCACCUAGAGAUUUAUCAAUAUUACACCAUCUUUUCCUCAUGUAUACUAAAUAAAGUUCACGAUCUUUACUGUGGCAUAUAA
Molecule: long non-coding RNA, 1224 nt
Organism: Rattus norvegicus (Norway rat)
Lineage: Eukaryota; Metazoa; Chordata; Mammalia; Rodentia; Muridae
Source: RefSeq, a predicted model, not a curated record